Molecule: RNA transcript, 5295 nt
Organism: Pangasianodon hypophthalmus (striped catfish)
Lineage: Eukaryota; Metazoa; Chordata; Actinopteri; Siluriformes; Pangasiidae
Gene: prmt2ip
Gene name: chromosome 6 C15orf39 homolog
Exons: 5
Source: RefSeq, a predicted model, not a curated record
UCUUUUUCUGUCAUAUUGUAAUUGGCUAACCGUGUGCCAACAGCUUACAUACUUAUGGACUGACGCCUACAAACUCUUGAGAAAAAUAAGGCAGUACUAUCUGAGCAGCCUUCACCAUCUCUCCAUCCGCUAGAGUUCUCCAAACCACACGCUGUCUAUGGAACUGAGCUUCUUCACAAGAAUGAUGAUGGCUAACUUUCGCUUUUGGCAUGGCUAGUCUAAUAGAGCCGGGUGUUGGACGAGUAGGAGUCUCUGUCCUCGGUGUCAUUUGGUACGAAUAUAUAACCUCAAAGACAGGAUAUAAUGAUGAACAGUAAGCGGGUGCAGAGUUUCAUGGAUCCUCUACCUCAAGGCAAGAGAGCAAGACUAGAGGGUACCAUGGGUACUGUGGGGACUUCAGGGCUUUCCAAAACCAACAGCCUGCCUCAGUACUCCCAAGACAAGUCUAUACCCUACAGACACACCUAUAUGUCUUGCUCUCUCAGUGGACAAGAGACUUUAGAUCUUCCCUCACCAUGGAGUCCCUCUAGGAUUUUUGUGAGAAAUGGAGGGAGCCCUGUGGUUCAUGCUAGAGCCACAGAGGGGUCAAUUACAAAUCCAGUCAUUUACAGGCCUGAAAAUGUGAAUUUCCCUGAGGACAAUGGCUCCCCCACUGUAGCAGAAGAAGUGGUAGUGAAGCAGAAGCUUGCCUACUGUUCUAGAAGUCCAAGUAAGCACAGCCCUAGUACUGCGAGAAUAAUGUCCCCUGUCCCUUUCAGGAAAAUCCCUAUAGGUUGCACAAGCUUAUCGCCCUCAACAGCAGAAAAAUCUGGUGGACUUGCUAUUCCAAAACCAGUGUAUGGACAUAGUCCUUGCUGUGCUGGCCAAAAGUGCACAGUAGGUCACAGCUAUACUAUGGACCAAGGGCUGCAACGGAUGCCCCCACAAAUGUUUGAGGAUGAUCGGAUGACAUAUUAUGGUCACUGGGCAUGCAUGCAUAAAAAGGAGUCAGAAACCUUGUUGCAGCAGAGAUUAUUGCCGUUUGAGCACUGUGGAGAGAGGAUACCAUUGAAAGACGUAACCACAGAAGGCUACCAUGGCCUUAGCCCAAGCAAACCUCAGCGGGUUUCUGCUUUUUCUGAUCCACGCCAGAGCAGCUAUAUGUAUAACCAUGUCCACCCAUUUGUCCCCUCUUCACCAGAUCGCUGCCAACGUUUUCAGAUGCCCAAACAGGUACAUAAGGAUCUGGUUCCUAUAUAUGAGCCAGUACCUGGGAUGCAAUAUGGAACACACAUGCAGAUUUAUCAAGACUGUCCUCACACAUCUAAGUAUAGAGAUAUACCUCAGCAUUCCUUGCUUUAUUGUCCAAAGAAUAACAUUGAUGUUUACAGACCUGAGAAUUUUCAGCAAACAUCUGGGCACCGCCCUAUUCUUCAGCCAUUUUUUAGGGAUUUCAAGAAUUCCUACACUGUUGUCCCUCCUGGCCACCCAGUUGUUAGGAACGUACCUGUCUAUCCUGCUUAUAGAACACACUUAAAUGCUAGACACAUGAAUCCGUUCACUAAGAGACCAUUUUGUCCUCCUGUCAUGCAGCAGGUAGAACAACCCCUGGACUUUUCCAUGCGGCGAGAGCAGAAUGCAGACUCCAACCAGGAACAACCUCCUCAAGGACAGCUUGGAAUUAAAGGGACUUUUUAUCAAACUGAGCCCCAAGCCCACUAUAUGGUUUCAAAUAAUUUACAUCUUGAAAAUUCAUCCCUGGACAGUCCAUGUCAGGGAGAAGAUAAUUGUCUUUUUAUUAGUCACAAUUGUACAGCCUCUCCCACAUGCACUGGUGAUAUAUUCAAUAAAAAGCAGAGUUUAUGUUUUUCAGACAAAGCAGGUAAUGGUGCUGAUCUAUCUAAAAAGCACAGGGUGGAAACUGAUAAAAGCUGUGAAAAUGAUUCUUUGGUUAAACUUCAAAUGAUACAUCAGCUGAAAGCUAAUGAGACUAAGCACCCUUCUUCCCCUCCAAUGCCAGUAAUUAACAAAGUCUUUAGUCUGGCCCCUUACAAAGCCUACUUAGAAGCUACAGGUGUAUUGUCGCCUGUACAAGACCCCAGUUGUCCAGUCAUGGCACCUGACUCAAAGCCACCAAAAGAUGAACCAGAAGCACAAAACACAGAUCCAAAAACAAAUUUAGACAAAGACAUCUUUAAGCCGAAAGUCAAAACUGAGAAAAUAGAGCCUGAUGAAAGGGCAUGUCAAUCAGAAAAAGAGAGCCACAGUCCUGUGAUUAGUCAGAGCAACAAUAAUGUAAAUGUUAAAGAGGAACAAGACAAUUUAGACUCAACAGAGGGUGACACCAAACACAACCUAGUUAUAAAGAGUGGCUUUUAUUCAGGUUCAAAGUCAGUCACAUCUGAAAUGCCAGAAAGCCCCCUUGAAUGCACUACUGCGUUUAGUGUGAUGGAUGGAGUUGCUAUGCCAACUCAAAACACUGACAAAAAACAAUCUGAUUUUCCAGCCCCUUUGUCUGCGAAACCCCCAGUUCCAAGUCAGACAAAUCAGGCUACGUUUUCCCUCAAUAAAAUCCCUCCUCAUUGCCUUAAACUGACUAGCUUUAAAAUAAUUUUGCCUGAAGGCUUCAAAACUUCCAUGUCUCCAGUCCCUGAGGUUCUUCAGUCUCCUGUUGAGAAUAAAGUAGCCAUAAGCAGUAGACAGGCCCGGUAUCAGUUCAUGGAGCUUCACCAGUCACUCUGCAGAGUUAUAUCAGGCUGCAUUUCUCAAACCUCACUUUGUGAGCUCAGGAACUGGUUAUCCAGGUUGGACCUGGAUGAGUCUGCUUCUCUUCAAGCUAAAACCCAAAAGGUCUCUUGCCUUCUGGGUCCCAAGGCUAGGGAGAUGUGGAUGAAAGAUGGAGAGGCGAUGAGAGCACUCCAGAAAGUUCUUUACCAGCUUGAGAACUAUGUCAGAAUUCAAGAGUGCCCCUUUCCUCAUGUCAUCAGAGCAGGGGCCGUGUUCAUCCCCAUGCUGGUGGUGAAGGAGGUGCUGUUUCCUCAGGUCCAGGGCACAUUUAUAGACCAGGUUCUACAAGAGCAUCGAGUUGAGUUGCGGCCAACCACACUGUCGGAGGAGAGACAGCUGACUCAGCUACAUAAGCGGGCUUUUUCUUCUAAACUAAGGAGGCUCAUGUCCCUCAAACACCUGCCAGAUAUCUAUCCAGAUGUCCUCAACCUCCACUACUAUGCUGAUGUCUGCAAAUUCCUUGAUUCUACUCCUACAGAUGAUGCACAAAAGGUAGAGCCACCUUCUGCGUAAUGUGAUCGGAUGCUGUGGUGAGCUGUAGGAAGUGAUGUGGUUUGGGAUCUCGGUCAAACCUGUUGCACACAUCCCCCAGCAAAGAAGCAUCUCAGGCAUCCGUUGAUAAAACAGUGCAGGAAGAGAAGUGAACUCCACUUUUAAAAAAGAAUGUGUGCAAUGCUCUGAAGUUGAAGUUGAAAGCUCAUUUAACGGGUUUGAGGUGCACUGCAUAUCACCAAGGCCAAACAUGCCUGAUAACGCCACAUGCCUGGAGAACCUGAAGCAAACUUCUUGCCAGAAAAGUCUUAGGAGCAAAGGGAGGGUAAAAGGUGCCUGCAAGAGAAGGUUUUUAGGAGACGACACUUCCUCUGAAGAGGAUGGGCCUGCUAAGGAAUCUGAAAGCUGGACUUUCACCAGUUGUUUGGAGGUAGAAAGAUGGGAAAACGUACCAGCUGCCUGCACCGAUGUAGAGGCUCACAUUGAGGUCAAGAUCGAGUCAGACGCUGAGCAAGAGCCUGAGAAUUCCUGGGGGCGCCCCUUGACCUCCGACGACCUCUCCUCAGAGAGCACUGACGUGGAUACAGAGAUGACCUCGUUAUCAUCGUAUGCAAGACACGUCCCCAGUAGCACUAAGAAGCGCUCGGACAUGGUUCUAAAGCUCAGGAAAGUCUAUUAUACCAAAGGCAGACGAGGCCAAGUGUCCCACUACAAGACAGUCCCGGACCAGUCUGAGGCUCAGAGACGGAGACACAGACACAGACGCUGUCACAGAAAAAAGAAACGUAGAAGCUCAGAGUCUAGUAUGCGACACAGAGUGAGGAAGUUUUCUUCAAGAUCACAGCACUGCCCUUAUCUCUCCACUCAGUGUACUUCAGAGCACAGGAGGAGAUGGGUACUGCGCUCGGCAGCACAGAACACCCGCCAGGCCAUGAGGAGCCGCUACCCAGAUCUAGUGGGCAAAAGGAUCCGCCAUCUGUAUGAAGAAAACGAUAAGACAGAGGCGUGGUACAAGGGUGUAGUGCUGCGUAUCCAUGAGUCCCAUCCCAACCCGCUAAAAACUGUAUUUGAGGUCAAGUAUGACAGCGAGCCGGAGUGGCAGUACUACCUGGAGCUGCUAGUGGACUACACGAAAGGGUGGCUUCAAAUUGAGGACUGAAGAAUUUUUGUAGUGUGUAGAAGUGUAAAUGGUUUUUAAACUGUGAACUUCUUUCAUUUCUUUGCAUCUUUUCAUUUUAAAAUGUGAAUAUUUUUAUCAUGCUUUUUAAUUCUGACAAUCACAUUUUAAAAUAGAUUAUAUUUAUAAAGAGUUGGGUCUGUUUAAAGUUUUAACAGCUGCUGUACCAGUUUUGGUCAGUUAUAUGUUUGAGAUAUCCCAAACCCAAAUGUUUCAAGUGAUCUACAUUCCAGGACUGUAAUCAAGUACCAAAGGACUUAUAUGUUUACUUUUUAAAAAAAAUUUUUUAUUGAAGCUGCUGUCUAAUGGUGUUUAAAUCAGCCAUAGCUAGUGAUGGUCUAAAGUGCCUUUCCAUGUUCUAUAAAACGUGCUGUUAAAUGGUAGAACUGUUUUUAGACCCAAUUCUGCAUUUCAAUAAAUGUUAGGGGAUUUUUUUUUCUCCUAAAUUAUGCUAUUAAAACUUCACUUUGGGGUUACUUUGCCAUGAAAUUGCUGCUGAGGAAAACGUGUUUUGAUUUGCCUUCUGUUUUCGUAUUAUUUUUUUUAAUUUUCUAGGUGUAGCAAAAAACUUGAACUAGAAAUACUUCAUCCUUUAGGUUUCUGCAUACAUGUUAAAUUCCUGCUUCUGUUUUUAAAAUAACCCCUUCACUCUAUUUGUUGAUGUAGUAAAUAUUAUUGUCACAGCUCCCUCUUAUGGUUAAAUUAAAAUCAGAAGUGUAGGCUCUUAUCCACUGUUAACAGAUUUCAUGGGUCAGGUUAAAGAAAACCAAAAUGCACUGUCUGAAAUUCAGCUUCAGCUUUACAAAGUAGAACAGUAAGCAAAAAGAACUGACAAAAUAAUAAAAAUUUUGCAACAUUUU